RNAcentral lists this ribosomal RNA (492 nucleotides) under uncultured bacterium. RNAcentral's name for it is "partial 16S ribosomal RNA". It matches the Rfam family "Bacterial small subunit ribosomal RNA", at positions 29 to 507 of the family's 1533-position model. The record is from RNAcentral.
AGUGAACGCUGGCGGUAGGCCUAACACAUGCAAGUCGAACGGCAGCACAGUAAGAGCUUGCUCUUACGGGUGGCGAGUGGCGGACGGGUGAGGAAUACAUCGGAAUCUACUUUUUCGUGGGGGAUAACGUAGGGAAACUUACGCUACUACCGCAUACGACCUACGGGUGAAAUCAGGGGAUCUUCGGACCUUGCGCGACUGAAUGAGCCGAUGUCGGAUUAGCUAGUUGGCAAGGUAAAGGCCCACCAAGGCGACGAUCCGUAGCUGAUCUGAGAGGGUGAUCAGCCACACUGGAACUGAGACACGGUCCAGACUCCUACGGGAGGCAGCAGUGGGGAAUAUUGGACAAUGGGCGCAAGCCUGAUCCAGCCAUACCGCGUGGGUGAAGAAGGCCUUCGGGUUGUAAAGCCCUUUUGUUGGGAAAGAAAAGAAGCAGGUUAAUACCCCGCUGUUCUGACGGUACCCAAAGAAUAAGCACCGGCUAACUUCGUG